AAGACUAUACUUUCGGGGAUCAUUUCUAUAGUUCAUUACUAGAGAAGUUUCUUUGACUGUGUAGAGUACCAGAAACCACGAAGAGGAGACAUAGCAUUCUCUCCUGAGUGUGAAGCCGGCUCUUGGUGUUGCUUCACUGCAACUGCCUCUUGCCGUUGAUGAUUGUUCUUCUCUCUUUCAGGAGAGUAGAGGGAGAGGAUGCAGUGUGAGUGCC
Molecule: small nucleolar RNA, 214 nt
Organism: Nannospalax galili (Upper Galilee mountains blind mole rat)
Lineage: Eukaryota; Metazoa; Chordata; Mammalia; Rodentia; Spalacidae
Gene: U3
Rfam family: Small nucleolar RNA U3
About the family: Small nucleolar RNAs (snoRNAs) are involved in the processing and modification of rRNA in the nucleolus. There are two main classes of snoRNAs: the box C/D class, and the box H/ACA class. U3 snoRNA is a member of the box C/D class.
Source: Ensembl